UAAUCAAUGAGUUGAUGAAUAAAGGUUAC
This 29-nucleotide non-coding RNA is filed under the name Rattus norvegicus (Norway rat). Lineage: Eukaryota; Metazoa; Chordata; Mammalia; Rodentia; Muridae. The record is from RNAcentral.